UAAGUAUGAAAAGGAAUGACUGAGUGUAGACUCCUGAUUGUGUUGUAAGAAAACCAACCUUGAAGAGCUGAGUAUUAA
Molecule: small nucleolar RNA, 78 nt
Organism: Peromyscus maniculatus bairdii (prairie deer mouse)
Lineage: Eukaryota; Metazoa; Chordata; Mammalia; Rodentia; Cricetidae
Source: RefSeq, a predicted model, not a curated record